AUAGCUCAGCGGUAGAGCAAUCGCCUGCAGAGCGAUAGGGUAAGAUUUAGUCUCCUUC
RNAcentral lists this transfer RNA (58 nucleotides) under Chloropicon laureae. The record is from RNAcentral. Lineage: Eukaryota; Viridiplantae; Chlorophyta; Chloropicophyceae; Chloropicales; Chloropicaceae.